UGGGGAAUUGUUCACAAUGGGCGCAAGCCUGAUGACGCAACGCCGCGUGGGGGAUGAAGGUCUUCGGAUCGUAAACCCCUGUCGAAUGGGACGAAAGACUCGCGAGUGAAUACUUCGCGAGAGUGACGGUACCGUUAAAGGAAGCCACGGCUAACUCUGUGCCAGCAGCCGCGGUAAUACAGAGGUGGCAAGCGUUGUUCGGAAUUACUGGGCGUAAAGGGCGCGUAGGCGGCCCUCUAAGUCAGACGUGAAAUCCCCGGCUUAACCUGGGAACUGCGUCUGAUACUGGAGGGCUUGAGUAUGGGAGAGGGAUGUAGAAUUCCAGGUGUAGCGGUGAAAUGCGUAGAUAUCUGGAGGAAUACCGGUGGCGAAGGCGGCAUCCUGGACCAUUACUGACGCUGAGGCGCGAAAGCUAGGGGAGCAAACGGGAUUAGAUACCCCAGUAGUCCCUGAGCGGGCUGGCAAGGCGCAU
RNAcentral lists this ribosomal RNA (472 nucleotides) under uncultured bacterium. Its description in RNAcentral is "bacterial SSU rRNA". It matches the Rfam family "Bacterial small subunit ribosomal RNA", at positions 355 to 825 of the family's 1533-position model. The record is from RNAcentral.